RNAcentral lists this ribosomal RNA (229 nucleotides) under uncultured bacterium. Its description in RNAcentral is "partial 16S ribosomal RNA". It matches the Rfam family "Bacterial small subunit ribosomal RNA", at positions 568 to 796 of the family's 1533-position model. The record is from RNAcentral.
UGCGCAGGCGGAAAUGUAAGUCAGUGGUGAAAUCCUACAGCUCAACUGUAGAACUGCCAUUGAUACUGCUUUUCUUGAGUAUAGUUGAGGUAGGCGGAAUGUGUAGUGUAGCGGUGAAAUGCAUAGAUAUUACACAGAACACCGAUUGCGAAGGCAGCUUACUAAACUAUUACUGACGCUCAUGCACGAAAGCGUGGGGAGCGAACAGGAUUAGAUACCCUGGUAGUCC